Small nuclear RNA from Eremothecium sinecaudum, 80 nucleotides. The record is from RefSeq and is a predicted model, not a curated record. NCBI's taxonomy places the organism in Eukaryota, Fungi, Ascomycota, Saccharomycetes, Saccharomycetales, Saccharomycetaceae.
UGAUGACUGCUGUCGCCCCAAACGGACUUCGUAAGCAUGACCGAUUCGACUUCAAUAGCCAAACACACUGAAAAUUCUGA